GCACAAAGCACCUUAAGUUUUUUCCCUUAAGUAUGACCCUUAAAGCUUAAAUUCUCCUUAGGUAAGGGAUUUACUUAAGAGUGUUGCACAGAAUGCCUUAAAUUGUUUCCUUAGUUAAGAAAAUCGUUAAGGGAUUUACUGCAUUGAAAGAGAUUUUCCGACACGAAAAUUCUAUAGUUUCCAUGGAGACCUCGCUCGCACCUGUGUAGCCUACCUGUAACGGUAACGUUACCUGCGAUAACAUUAGACAAACACUUAAACUAUCAACUCAAAAUGGAGGAAAAGAAGGCAAGGAAGCCAAAUUGGACAGAGGACGAAAAAGUUAUUCUUCUUGAAGAAUACAGAAAACGAAAAACUAUACUAAAAAGUAAAUUCGACCCGACAAUAACAGCAAACAAAAAACAAAGAAAUUGGAAAGAAAUCACUGCUAAAAUUAAUGCGAGAAGUACGGUGAAGAGGAGUGUACCAGAAAUACAAAAAAAGUUAGAGAAUCUAACUGUGAUGGCCAAGAAAGAGAUGUCCUGCUUUAGGAGGGAGUCCAAUGGAACUGGUGGUGGAUCAGCUCCAAAACCAAUUUCAAGCGAUGCUGUAAUGGUUGCCGACAUCAUUGGUAGGGACUCACCCACAGUAAAGGGGAUUGCUGGUGGACAGGAGAGCGGUGUCAUAUUGGAAAGAUAUAAAGAGAAUAAACUCAAAGGGGAACUGCAAACAUUCAGAUUGAAGCCUACCAUUGAGAAGAGAAAAACUCAGGGAACCCAAUAGCUAUACAAUAUUUGGUGGCAUUCUGUUUUGCACAGUUGUGAUUUCUAAAAGUGAACCUUUACAUGAUAUACCUGUCUUAAACUGUCUUUUGUUGCUUGUGAAAUACAUAUAAUACACAUUUUUGUAUUAA
This is a long non-coding RNA of Alosa alosa (allis shad), 892 nucleotides long. RefSeq lists it as uncharacterized. The record is from RefSeq and is a predicted model, not a curated record. NCBI's taxonomy places the organism in Eukaryota, Metazoa, Chordata, Actinopteri, Clupeiformes, Clupeidae. The transcript is spliced from 3 exons.